CCAGUCUACAAACUACAUCCAUGAGCUCAUUGCUUUUCUCAUGACCAAUAUCCAGUCUCAAAAUGAGGACAUCAUCAUGCCGUGCCUCGGCCUUAUGGCCAACUUGUGUCGAGACAACCACUCAGUGCAGAGCCACAUCAAGUCUCUGGACAACGUGAAGCGAUUC
Perca flavescens (yellow perch) is the source of this 166-nucleotide long non-coding RNA. RefSeq lists it as uncharacterized. Lineage: Eukaryota; Metazoa; Chordata; Actinopteri; Perciformes; Percidae. The record is from RefSeq and is a predicted model, not a curated record. The transcript has 3 exons.